Molecule: long non-coding RNA, 344 nt
Organism: Limulus polyphemus (Atlantic horseshoe crab)
Lineage: Eukaryota; Metazoa; Arthropoda; Merostomata; Xiphosura; Limulidae
Exons: 3
Source: RefSeq, a predicted model, not a curated record
CAGUAGUAUACAAAAUGCCGCGAGAAGGGAAAGGUAGCAGUGUUGUUGGGAUGAUUCAAAGCCUUUAUACCGAUCCGUUAAAAUGGCAGCUUGUGAAAAGUUGGACAAUGUUUGCUUUUGGAGUAUACCUUGCAAGGGAAUUUGCUGAUGUUGACCUGAUGGCUCCUCCUCCAAAUCUUUAAAUCAGGUGUUCCUGUAUAUUACACAAGUGAAGAUGGUGGAGGACAAGAUAUACUGGUCUGUGUGCAUUAAAGAAAAAAUAUCCACUUCAAAACUCUGUAUGGGAAUGUGUAAAUUCUUAUGUGUUUCAAGUUGCCCGCAAUAAAAUAGUUAAUAUUAUUUAA